RNAcentral lists this ribosomal RNA (483 nucleotides) under uncultured bacterium. RNAcentral's name for it is "bacterial SSU rRNA". It matches the Rfam family "Bacterial small subunit ribosomal RNA", at positions 30 to 507 of the family's 1533-position model. The record is from RNAcentral.
UGAACGCUAGCGGCAGGCUUAAUACAUGCAAGUCGUGGGGCAGCAUGAGUAGCAAUACUUGAUGGCGACCGGCAAACGGGUGAGGAACACGUACACAACCUUCCUUCAAGCGGGGAAUAGCCCAGAGAAAUUUGGAUUAAUACCCCAUAAUAUAUUUGAUAAGGCAUCUUAUUAAUAUUAAAGCUUCGGCACUUGAUGAUGGGUGUGCGGCUGAUUAGAUAGUUGGCGGGGUAACGGCCCACCAAGUCUACGAUCAGUAGCUGAUGUGAGAGCAUGAUCAGCCACACGGGCACUGAGACACGGGCCCGACUCCUACGGGAGGCAGCAGUAAGGAAUAUUGGACAAUGGACGAAAGUCUGAUCCAGCCAUGCCCGCGUGAAGGAUUAAGGUCCUCUGGAUUGUAAACUUCUUUAUAUGGGACGAAAAAAGGGCAUUCUUGUUCACUUGACGGUACCAUAUGAAUAAGCACCGGCUAACUCCGUG